This 447-nucleotide ribosomal RNA is filed under the name uncultured bacterium. RNAcentral's name for it is "bacterial SSU rRNA". It matches the Rfam family "Bacterial small subunit ribosomal RNA", at positions 330 to 792 of the family's 1533-position model. The record is from RNAcentral.
ACCAGACUCCUACGGUAGGCAGCAGUGGGGAAUAUUGGGCAAUGGGCGCAAGCCUGACCCAGCAACGCCGCGUGAAGGAAGAAGGCUUCCGGGUUGUAAACUUCUUUUGACAGGGAAGAGCAGAAGACGGUACCUGUCGAAUAAGCCACGGCUAACUACGUGCCAGCAGCCGCGGUAAUACGUAGGUGGCAAGCGUUGUUCGGAUUUACUGGGUGUAAAGGGCGUGUAGCCGGGCUGACAAGUCAGAUGUGAAAUCCGGGGGCUCAACCCCCGAACUGCAUUUGAAACUGUUGGUCUUGAGUAUCGGAGAGGCAGGCGGAAUUCCUAGUGUAGCGGUGAAAUGCGUAGAUAUUAGGAGGAACACCAGUGGCGAAGGCGGCCUGCUGGACGACAACCGACGGUGAGGCGCGAAAGCGUGGGGAGCAAACAGGAUUAGAUACCCGCGUA